CCACCUUGGCUUCACAAAGUGCCGGGAUUACAGGUGUCAGUCACUGUGCCUGGCCUGUAAUUGAUAUGAAUCCUUAGUUACCCAUUCAAUAGCCUAAACCUUCUCUCAGGUCAGGGAGUCUAGAAGUAAUAGAAAUUUAUUUUUUCCAGCCAUUUUUGUAGCUCAGGGGUCCAUGAGACAUAAUUCUGGAAAAUACUACGUAGAAAAAAUCUGAUUGCUUCUGGAAAAUAUUCCAGCCUUAAAAAAGAGAUACACAAGUUGAGUGAUCCCAUUUAACCCCUGCUCUUUCUUUUUUCUCUAGAUGCCAUUACACUGGGACUAGUGCCAGGAGCCUUAGCAGUCCUCUGUGACUGCACUUGAGCCAAAGGACAAGGCCAGCAUCCUGACACAGGCUGAAAGUGCCUGGAUUCUUUGCUGACAUCACCAAGCUAGUUAACCAUUUCCAUACAGCCUACUUCUGGGCUUCCUAUUCAUCAACUUAAACAUCCUAAUGGUUUAAGACAUCCUUAGUUUUCUGUUACAUGUAAUCAAAGCAGUCUUUUAUUUAUUGAGCAUCCAUUUCCUGUAUGGAUCUCAAACACAAAUCACUUUCCCACUAAAGAAAAUGAAUUAUAAACCCUACCUUCACAUAGUGAACCAGAGAAAGUAGAAAGCAGAAAAUACGUUGACAUAGAUACACAGAUAAACAAUUGUUCAGAGAUCUACCAGGUCAAGUAAACACACUAAAAUGAUUUAUUAGGUUGAGCAGUCAGGAUUUCUGCAGAGUAUAUAAGGGUGAAGCAAAGUGAUUGUAUAAAUUAAUUGAUAAAGACUAUAAUUUGAUCAAUUGCAUUAAAAAAUUAGAAUAAAGACCUGAAACUGAAAAGAGACAAUUCCAAGAUUUCCAUGGGAUUGCCAGGCAAAAAAGGGAAGAACUAUGAUAACACAAAAAAUGAGAGUCCCAACUGAUCAGAAAAGCCUCCUUCUUGGCCCCUCUAGUCUUAUCUCCAGUCCCUAGCAAUAUCAUUAGUCCAUGAAGAAGUAUCUAAUUUUUUUAAAUUGUGUGUUUAAAUUAAUUUAUAAUGAAACUAACAUAGGUAUUAUUCUGUUUUAAGAUUUAGGCAUAUUAAAUAAAUCACUUCAUUAAUCCCAAAUUCAAACACCGCUGCUGUUUAUUUUUUUACAUUGGUAUCUUGAUGGAUUGAAUUCUACCUAAUAAAAAUUUCCCUAAUUUUGUUGCAUUUAGUAAAUACCUCCUCCCUCUCCAAAUUCUAUAUCUAGAUAAAGUUAUUUCUCUUAUUCAUGUCCAUUCAGAACAUCUCUACCUGAACCAAGAAGUAGAGUUUGGGUCUUAUGAUAACUAGUUGGGCACUUCAUGAAACGUCUGUGAAAUGAGGUGUGAGCUCUCAGCCCAUAAAACAAUAAUUCCCAUUCUUUACCACUAGAUUCAGAAAACAUGGACUCAUGUUUGAAACAUUUCAUGAGGUAGAGGAAGAACUCCUAACAUGUGAUAUAUUAUAUCCAGCUUCUUGGUGUGCUGAAGCCAAGAUAGAUUUCGGAGUUUGUUAAACAAAAUUAUAAUAGUUAGCUGUAGUGAGGUAUCAGCCUGUGUCCCAAACAUUCUCUCAUUCUUUCUCACUGUAUCUCAGAGCUUGAAUUUUCACAUGGCAAAAUCGAGCACAGAGAAUUAUUGGAUGCACAGUGGAGAACACUGGAGAAACGGAUGGCUUCUUGUCUAAGAAGAUGUAUUAUUGCUGUUUUCCUAACUACAUCGAGACUAUUCAACAUCUUUUCCUGGGCAUCAAAGGAUUAUUUACAACACGUAUCAGCCUGAGCCACUAAUAGAGAAGAGCGAGUAAUGACAAAAUUUCAUUAUUCAGAGGUCUCAAUCAUUUUUUUCACGUCAAAUGCAAAAUAUCUCAAGUUCCAAGCAUUUGCAUGAUGCUUCUAUUAUUGUAAUAUGCCCAAUUUUAAUAUGUAAUUUAGAAAUCUGAAGCUAAAGUCCUUUGUUCUCAAUCUUUUGUGUCCAACGUAAUUCAUGUUAUUCAAGUCAAAUUUUCCAUCACGUAGUGAAUUUUUCUACUGCUAAAGGGAACUUUAUUUUUCCCAUCUCUAGGAUCUCUUGGACUACAGUUAAAGUAUUAAAAAAAUAAAAUAUCAGUACUUUUACUGGAAAAUCUGCUCAAAUCUGAGUUCUGGAUAUGUAAAUUCACAAGUAUGACAUUCAAUGACAAACCAUUGUCCAUGAAUCCUAAGAAUAUCGAUAAUAAAUAGAAUGUAUUGUAAACUGUGUGCCAGGCACUUGCCAAGCCAUUUCACUUGGCAAUGUAAAUUUACACUUAUGCAAGGCCUUUAUUUCCAAGUAUUUCUGCUAAUACUCCAUUGUAUUUUCACGUGAUAAUUCAAAGGCAAGUAUCAUCUCUCUUUCUUUUAUGUAUGAAAAAGCUGUGACAAAGUCCAUGCUUCUGUUUAUGUAAAAAUGAAAGCAACAGCUUAACGUUGGAAGGAAGUCAGGAUGCAGAACAAAGUCUGAUAUCAUUAUAUGCCUCUAAUUUUUGCUUAAUAAAAUAUUUUCUCUGAAAUUACAAUACAUUAUAUAUACUGUGCAUUAGCAUUCUCAAAAUGCUUUUUCAUACAGUAUCUCAUUUGAACUUCACAAUCACCCUUUAACGGGUGUGUGUGCAUAUGUUUUUCAAAUGGGACAAUAAUAUUUUGGUCAUUGUCCAAAAGUAAAAAUAAUCCAAUUUUUAAGAUAAAAGCAGAUACUAAAAGAUGUCAAAGUGACUUACCCAAGUUCACAUAGCUUCACUUCUGGACUUCUAGUAGGUACCAUGCUCUUCUCACCAUAGCAAAUCACAACCAAAAUUUGGCUUUUUCCUUUUCUAUAAAAAUGUUAAAAUAUAUUGCUCUCAUUUCUUAAAAUCACCAAGGAAUUUUUACUAGACAUCAAUAUUGUUCUACUUCUCUCUCUUUAUAAGUUAAAACACCAUGAGACUGGUUUUCUAAUCAGCAUACCAGCUACCAAUUCUAAAACUGUCCUUCAAGGCAGUCACCUUGAAAAUCUUUAGUCCCAUUACAAGCAUAACUGACUGAUCAAAACAUGUUUAAAAUGUUUUAGGAGUUACUUUGAAAAUCAGGUUACAAGCCACAAAAGAAUAUCGCUUUCUUUACUUAACAGUUAUACCUCAUUUAAAAAAAAAAUUAAUAACAGUUUAAUCACUCACUUUCUUUACCAGAUGAGCCUCUGAUUUCUUUGGACCUUUCCCAAAUAUAAUAUUUUUGCUCAAAGCAUGAAAAAUUUUUACGUGAAAUACAAUUUUCAAGGUUUGCAUGGUCUUGUGGGACAAUUCCACAUGAGAAAUUCCAAGAAUGAGUUGUCCAAAGGCGGCAUCCCUGAAAUGAGUAUGAAGCCUGCCAAGUUGAUGACUUUGAUGGAACUAACUUUUCCUUAGUGUAAAUAAUACCUUUCUGACACUUUGACAAGUUAAUGAAGCAUUUCUCUCCCAUAUGAAAAAAUCAGUUGGCAUUCCUUCAUCAAGCAAGCAGAAUGCCAACAACCAAGGCAAGAAGAAUGUGUAAAAGGAUUCAGUAUGUUCAAGAACCCCAAGCCUGAUAACAAAAAUUACUUCAAAAACUGGAAUUUAGAGAUGGCCUAUUUGGUUUUCUGAUACCCUAAUAGAGUUCUUUUCCCUUCUGGACCUCUUCAGAUUGUAUGUAAAUAUGUGUGUGCAAAUGCUUGUCGGUGGGUGAGCCUAUACAACAUCUCAAAAGCUUUUCUUAGUCUCUAAGUUCAUUAUUUUAAAAAUAAUUUUAAUUAUUUUUAAACUACUACUUCUUAUUUAUCCCAAGGUUUUAGUGCCUUCUUUUUUCAUAUUUGAUUGCCAGGACGAAUGUAAUGAAGCUUUUUCACUUUGUUUUACUAGCUGUCCUCUAAACUUAUUGUAUUUUCAAAACUUAAUUUUAGAAAAUACACAACAACGAAAAUAUCACUUAAAUCAGACUCCUGCAGAAAGGAUUUCCUGGCUACAGAAGAAAUAAAUGUAAAUUUUCCUGUAAAACCUUGCUAGCCUUGAGAAAUCUCUUGAGUUUGAAGCAUGCAAAUUCAUGCAUCUUGUUCAUAGAACCAGCAGCCUUCAAACUUUUGUUUAAGGAGCGAAAGUUUACUAUCUGAAUAGCACAAAUUUGCAAUAACUACAGAGCAUUCAGAGAAGUUGGUACCAUUUCUAACCAAAUAUGAUUAGAAAGUAGAGGACGCAGCUGAAGUGAUGGUGAAAAUAUCUUCACUUUUCUUGGAGUAAAUUUGAGAGCUGGAAGGCUAGAAAGUACAUUAAUUAGACAUUGCAAUGUUCACAUUUAGUGAAAACUGAGGCCUCUAAAAUUUAAAUGAAUUUUCCCAAAGUUUCAUUGUUUGUUAGUGUCAAAACUCAGGACUAUAACCCAAUUUUCUUCCUUCUAGCCCAGUUCUUAAAAUUUAAAAUAUUGGAAUAAAAUAUAGUCAAAGAUAAUGUGAGCCAUUAUUAAUGACAAAGAUUAGUAAUCAUUAAAUUCAUUUCUAAUCAAGUUUUCCAAAAUCUGUUUUUUGAAAUUAAAAUUGUAAGUACAUAUUCUGCUCCAAACCACCCAACUUCUUAGAAAAUGUAAUAUCUGAACACCAUCUUAACUUUUUCUAAACCAAGAAACUUAAGCCUACUAGCUACUGAUUCUAUUCUUGUGACCUACUCCAUGGAUUUUCUUUGGCAGCCCAAUAAAAACCUCACAUGUUGAAAUAAUUUAUUUCUGAACCUGAUAUCCCUCUGCAAAUUCUUCCAUUUGAUUAAUUUUUUUCACUUUAUCAUUAUCUCAUAGAUAUUUUAACAGAAUAGGAAAAUUGCUCAUUUCUCCAAUUAUGAAAAUAAAUUAAGGAAUUUGAGAGAGAAAUGGAGAAUUAACUUCUAUAAAUUUC
Cercocebus atys (sooty mangabey) is the source of this 4921-nucleotide long non-coding RNA. RefSeq lists it as uncharacterized. The transcript has 4 exons. NCBI's taxonomy places the organism in Eukaryota, Metazoa, Chordata, Mammalia, Primates, Cercopithecidae. The record is from RefSeq and is a predicted model, not a curated record.